Triticum aestivum (bread wheat) is the source of this 3510-nucleotide long non-coding RNA. RefSeq lists it as uncharacterized. The record is from RefSeq and is a predicted model, not a curated record. The transcript has 3 exons. Lineage: Eukaryota; Viridiplantae; Streptophyta; Magnoliopsida; Poales; Poaceae.
UCUCCUUCUCACGAGCGGAUCCGCCGCUGCCCUCGCCCCAUCGUCGCCCCACCACCGCUAGCCGCUGCGGAUCCGCCGACUCCGCCGCCGUUCCUCUCUAGCCUCCGCCACUGCCGGCCCUCUCCGCCCUCCCUCGGUCUUCUCUGCCCUCCGUCGCCUUGUUCUUCUUCCCCUCCCCAUCCUCUCCUAAUCUUCUCCGACGAGGAAGUUCCACGCGAGAUCCGGCGAGGAAGCGUGAGAUCCCGGAGAAAGCACUCCUCCGACUAGGCCGACCACAAAAUCCGGCGAGGAAGCGCUGGCGACGGCCUCCGUCGGGGAAGCUGCUUCCUUCCACCGGCAAAGAAGAGGCUGGUCAUGCCGUGGAAGAGGAGGCCCUUUCUCGUGAGAUCUAAAGCACUCCCCGACUUCCGUCCCCACGAGAUCCGGAGAGGAAGUGCUGGCCUCCGGCCUCCGGCGGGGAAGCUGCUGCCUUCCAUGGCAAAAAAUACAAUUCCUCACCGACCUCCCAAGUCAAGGCCGCCUUCGCGCUCAACCCCACCUCUGCGUCCUGCAUCCUCGCCUUCCUCUCCCUAAACACAGACCAAGCAUUCCCCUAAACCCAAUCCCGUGGUACUAUUGCAUCUUGGUUUUCUGAAUGCUAUUACAUCAUGAAAAGAAGGAGGACUGAUUAGUGGUUCAAAAUAAUUGGGGGACAUAGAGAUGUGAGAGAUUGAGGGGUUCGGUUGGGGAAUUUUAUAUAGAGAGAUGGAGGGGUUCGGUUGGGGAUUUGUACCAUAUCAUGUGCUGUGUAUUCCAUUCUUUAUUCUUUGCUCUGCUUGGGGCAAUUUUUUUGUACAGGGAGCUAUGGUUUGGAUCAAUUAUAUACUUAUAUGUGAUGUUCUUUCAUGCUUUUGGUGCUCCUGCUGAAGUGAUAUUUUUUAGCUAUUUGUACUGAUUAUUGCUACUGGUGUUGAUUGCAUUUAUUGUUGCUAUCAUAUGCAGAUUGCCGUGAUUGUAUGAGAGAUUAAUACCAUUAUCCCAUGUGUGCUAGCUUUAAACAGAUGGGUGAUGCUUGGUGUAUUCUUUUGUGUCAAUCGGAACAAACAUGGAGGGAGGGUCGGGCUUCAGUUCACUGUGACUCCAUUAACAGAGUUCGACCACUCUGAAAAAGCUCUUGAAAAGAUGGUGAAUGAGAAGCUUCCCAACCUGCCCACUGUAGCAACAAGGUGAAAAGAUCCUCAGCUGAGCAUCUUCGUUGAGCAACGGACACGAGGUAAUGAGAGAAGAAAUUUGGAAGGAAAAAGAUCUAAAACUGGGGCUACAAAAACGUAUUAGCACAACCUGUCAACAGACGCGCUGUCUAGAUGUAUGUUAUUUCUCUCUAAGUUAGUCAACGCUCAUCCACAGGCGUGAGGGGUGUUCAGAGGAAAUAGACUCUCUGGAGCUUUCUUACAGUGAGUACAGGAUCCCCUCUUGCCCAAGGUUAAAUUCCUCAACUAUCUAGCCCCGUGAUGCCAAUGGUUCCCUUCCAGUCUUCUCUUCAAAACCUGUCAGCAACAAGCUCUGUCUAAAUUAUGGUACUUCUCUGAGGAGAUGUCACGGUAUUUUUAAUUUAAAUACCUGUUAUAGGUCCCUUGAGUGCUUAACUGAAAUUUGCUGGUUUACUAGCUCUAUGAAAGGGUCAAAUCACUAGAGACCAAUUAUAGCAUGUAACUACUAUAAUUGUAUACAUAGUUUGUAUUAAGAUUGGUCAUCAAGAUGUUCUGCAUCAAAGGUGUUGGCAGUGCUACAGUUGAAAAAAAUAUAUGAUUUUGUGGUGUUAUUACUGACUGAGAAGUCGCAACCUCCCACAAAAGGCAUGCCAUUUUUUUUCUGUUUGUGCACUAUGUUUUGGGGAGCUAUAACAAAGUUGUUACUAUGGCAGAAAAAGUAGUACACUAAAGCAUGUACCGGAUAUACUGGGAGAAAAUGCCACGUGAUAAAAGAACGACUUCAAAUGAAUGCAUAUGUCCUGAAAUGAACUUUUUAUCAUGUUGUGAUUGAUUACUGGAACUACACUUAAUUUGUUAUCUGUUAGGCAGAAUAUAUGAUAUUCACAGGAUUUUUUUUGAAGUGAUAGGAAGGAGGUAAAUUUCUUUUGUCAAUUGUCAUACAAUAUUCUAACCUCCCGUCUGGCAGUAUCAUCUAUAAUGAUGUUUUCAUUUAGCUUGAUCCUCUGCAUUGCAUAUACUUCCAGUUUUUUAUAUGUAUCCUGUCUAUACUGAUAGUUUCCCUCUAUUGUGUGUAUGCUGAAUUUUAUAAUUGAUCCUAUUUUGUGUCGCAAUUCGGGGACUUAAUGAAGAUAUCCUCCUAUUGCCUACUAUCAACACUAGAAGUAAAAACGAGUAGAAAUGUGAGGGGUGGUGCAAGGAGUAUCCCUUGCAGGGCUGCCCCCAUGUCAAGUUCGAUGAGGUUAGAAUUUUAAAGUUUUAAGCAUUCCAUUGCUCCGGCGUGGCUUUGUGACAUGUGUGUCGUGUGAUGGCCGAGCUGAUCGCCUUGGAUUGACCAAUGUUCACACCCAUUGCGAUUAGAUGGACAUCAUGCCACCGUCAACAAUGAGGAUAAGAAUGAGUAAUAUUUUUAUCCUGCUGCAACGCACGGGCCCUUUUGCUAAUAAUAAAAAAAAAGGGAACGAGAGCACGUGAGCUCUCCCCUGAAACUGGGGGUAGAAGUAGCCAGCUGCACGGCAUUGCUAGAUCGUCGUGUGACUCACGUACUGUACACUCGGAUCUCGAGAAGAUAGGCGCCUGAAGCCUGAUCGGUUCUGCUGAUCCAGACCAAUCCUAAAGUACUCCCUCUGUUCUGAAUUACUCGCUGUAGAAAUGGAUGUAUCUAGAUGUAUUUUAGUUCUAGAUACAUCAAUUUCUAUGAUGAGUAAUUUGGAAUGGAGGGAGUAACAAGUAACAAGGCCUCGAAGCUUGAACGUACACGCAUGCAUUUCACAGUCUAGCAAGCGUGGCAGUGAAGAAGACGACGUAGGGAUAGCUGGGACCUGAGGUGAUCGUUACGAACGAAGCCCUCGUCCUUUCCUCUGUCGCCAUUUCGCGUCGUCUUGCGGGUAGUGAGCUGCGCCCAUGCCUUGCCCUGACCUACGUACGUCCGUGCAGGCAUGCAGCGCACCCGGUGCACAAAGCAGAACAAAAUGUUCUUGCAUGUACGGUGGAGCACCGGAGUUGCGACACCACUGUCCACUGGCUGCGCGCAACGCCUCUUUGCAUCCGGAAAUACGUUAUACUCUAUUUCCGGCCGUGCUGCUCCGGCGACACAAGGACAAGACGGAGCACUCCGGCGAUCGACGUGUGCGCAUCGAUGGAGAGAAAAUAAGUCAUUUUCAAUUUUCCAUCUAGCAACAAGGGUCAUUUUUAUCCCUCGCUAUCCAUCUCUUGCAGCUAUGAAGCCACGCUAUCGUACCCAUCUUGCGCCUGUAGAACCAUAAGGCCACGUCCCCCCGAGACCGGAACCAAAGGAAUCAUACGACAGAGAAAUAUGCUC